Molecule: ribosomal RNA, 301 nt
Filed under: uncultured bacterium
Lineage: Bacteria
Description: partial 16S ribosomal RNA
Rfam family: Bacterial small subunit ribosomal RNA
Source: RNAcentral
CAGUAGCCGCGGUAAAACGAGGGGGGCAAGCGUUGUUCGGAAUUAUUGGGCGUAAAGGGUGCGUAGGCGGUUUGGCAAGUCUUGUGUGAAAUCUUCGGGCUCAACCCGAAGCCUGCACGAGAAACUGCCGGGCUUGAGUAUUGGAGAGGUGAGUGGAAUUUCCGGUGUAGCGGUGAAAUGCGUAGAUACCGGAAGGAACACCUGUGGCGAAAGCGGCUCACUGGACAAUAACUGACGCUGAUGCACGAAAGCUAGGGGAGCAAACAGGAUUAGAUACCCCCGUAGUCCCUGUCUCUUAUAC